Molecule: ribosomal RNA, 654 nt
Filed under: uncultured bacterium
Lineage: Bacteria
Description: bacterial SSU rRNA
Rfam family: Bacterial small subunit ribosomal RNA
Source: RNAcentral
ACGAUGACUCUCUAGCUUGCUAGAGAUGAUUAGUGGCGGACGGGUGAGUAACAUUUAGGAAUCUACCUAGUAGUGGGGGAUAGCUCGGGGAAACUCGAAUUAAUACCGCAUACGACCUACGGGUGAAAGGGGGCGCAAGCUCUUGCUAUUAGAUGAGCCUAAAUCAGAUUAGCUAGUUGGUGGGGUAAAGGCCCACCAAGGCGACGAUCUGUAACUGGUCUGAGAGGAUGAUCAGUCACACCGGAACUGAGACACGGUCCGGACUCCUACGGGAGGCAGCAGUGGGGAAUAUUGGACAAUGGGGGCAACCCUGAUCCAGCCAUGCCGCGUGUGUGAAGAAGGCCUUUUGGUUGUAAAGCACUUUAAGCAGGGAGGAGAGGCUAAUGGUUAAUACCCAUUAGAUUAGACGUUACCUGCAGAAUAAGCACCGGCUAACUCUGUGCCAGCAGCCGCGGUAAUACAGAGGGUGCGAGCGUUAAUCGGAAUUACUGGGCGUAAAGCGAGUGUAGGUGGCUCAUUAAGUCACAUGUGAAAUCCCCGGGCUUAACCUGGGAACUGCAUGUGAUACUGGUGGUGCUAGAAUAUGUGAGAGGGAAGUAGAAUUCCAGGUGUAGUGGUGAAAUGCGUAGAGAUCUGGAGGAAUACCGAUGGCGA